This 253-nucleotide ribosomal RNA is filed under the name uncultured bacterium. Its description in RNAcentral is "partial 16S ribosomal RNA". It matches the Rfam family "Bacterial small subunit ribosomal RNA", at positions 524 to 776 of the family's 1533-position model. The record is from RNAcentral.
UACGGAGGGGGCUAGCGUUGUUCGGAAUUACUGGGCGUAAAGCGCACGUAGGCGGCUUUGUAAGUUAGAGGUGAAAGCCCGGGGCUCAACUCCGGAAUUGCCUUUAAGACUGCAUCGCUCGAAUUGUAGAGAGGUAAGUGGAAUUCCGAGUGUAGAGGUGAAAUUCGUAGAUAUUCGGAAGAACACCAGUGGCGAAGGCGACUUACUGGACACAUAUUGACGCUGAGGUGCGAAAGCGUGGGGAGCAAACAGG